CAAAUAUGAAGGCGGGCUGGAACCUCUCGGGGUUACAGCCUUGCUGAAUUAUUCACCCUUGUCUUUUGCGUACUUCUUGUUUCCUUGGUGGGUUCGCCCACCACUAGGACAAACAUAAACCUUUUGUAAUUGCAAUCAGCGUCAGUAACAAAUUAAUAAUUACAACUUUCAACAACGGAUCUCUUGGUUCUGGCAUCGAUGAAGAACGCAGCGAAAUGCGAUAAGUAGUGUGAAUUGCAGAAUUCAGUGAAUCAUCGAAUCUUUGAACGCACAUUGCGCCCUUUGGUAUUCCAAAGGGCAUGCCUGUUCGAGCGUCAUUUGUACCCUCAAGCUUUGCUUGGUGUUGGGCGUCUUGUCUCUAGCUUUGCUGGAGACUCGCCUUAAAGUAAUUGGCAGCCGGCCUACUGGUUUCGGAGCGCAGCACAAGUCGCACUCUCUAUCAGCAAAGGUCUAGCAUCCAUUAAGCCUUUUUUUCAACUUUUGACCUCGGAUCAGGUAGGG
RNAcentral lists this ribosomal RNA (501 nucleotides) under fungal sp. CSF31. Its description in RNAcentral is "eukaryotic LSU rRNA". The stretch from base 164 to 317 matches the Rfam family "5.8S ribosomal RNA". The record is from RNAcentral. Lineage: Eukaryota; Fungi.